RNAcentral lists this ribosomal RNA (400 nucleotides) under uncultured archaeon. RNAcentral's name for it is "bacterial SSU rRNA". It matches the Rfam family "Archaeal small subunit ribosomal RNA", at positions 279 to 681 of the family's 1478-position model. The record is from RNAcentral.
AGAGCGGAAGCCCGGAGAUGGGCACUGAGACAAGGGCCCAGGCCCUACGGGGCGCAGCAGUUGCGAAAACUCGCCAAUGCGCGAAAGCGUGAGCGGGCUACCCCGAGUGCCGUCCGCUGAGGACAGCUUUUCCCUAGUGUAAUGAGCUAGGAGAAUAAGGAGAGGGCAAGACUGGUGUCAGCCGCCGCGGUAAUACCAGCUCUCCGAGUGGUGGGGACGAUUAUUGGGCUUAAAGCGUCCGUAGCCGGCCUGACAAGUCCCUCGUCAAAUCCAACGACCCAAUCGUUGGGCCGCGAGAGAUACUGCCAGGCUAGGAGGCGGAAGAGGCCGACGGUAUUCUCGGGGUAGGGGUGAAAUCCUAUAAUCCCGGGAAGACCACCGGUGGCGAAGGCGGUCGGCU